RNAcentral lists this non-coding RNA (27 nucleotides) under Homo sapiens (human). The record is from RNAcentral. Lineage: Eukaryota; Metazoa; Chordata; Mammalia; Primates; Hominidae.
UCCCAUUCCAGAGGAGUCGCCUGCAUG